AGAGUUUGAUCCUGGCUCAGAAUCAACGCUGGCGGCGUGCCUAACACAUGCAAGUCGAACGCGAAGACCCAGCAAUGGGUUUGUAGCGUGGCAAACGGGUGAGUAACACGUGGGUGACCUGCCUUCGAGCGGGGGAUAACGUCCCGAAAGGGACGCUAAUACCGCAUAACAUCCUGCCUUUGAAGAGGUGGAGAUCAAAGCCGGGGAUCGCAAGACCUGGCACUCGAAGAGGGGCCCGCGCCUGAUUAGCUAGUUGGCGAGGUAAUGGCUCACCAAGGCAACGAUCAGUAUCCGGCCUGAGAGGGCGGACGGACACACUGGGACUGAGACACGGCCCAGACUCCUACGGGAGGCAGCAGUGGGGAAUUGUUCGCAAUGGGCGCAAGCCUGACGACGCAACGCCGCGUGGAGGAUGAAGAUCUUCGGGUCGUAAACUCC
Molecule: ribosomal RNA, 438 nt
Filed under: uncultured bacterium
Lineage: Bacteria
Description: bacterial SSU rRNA
Rfam family: Bacterial small subunit ribosomal RNA
Source: RNAcentral